Molecule: ribosomal RNA, 245 nt
Filed under: uncultured bacterium
Lineage: Bacteria
Description: partial 16S ribosomal RNA
Rfam family: Bacterial small subunit ribosomal RNA
Source: RNAcentral
GCACAAGCAGUGGAGUAUGUGGUUUAAUUCGAAGCAACGCGAAGAACCUUACCAGGUCUUGACAUCCACCGAAUCCGGAAGGGAUUCUGGAGUGCCCUUCGGGGAGCGGCGAGACAGGUGGUGCAUGGUUGUCGUCAGCUCGUGUCGUGAGAUGUUGGGUUAAGUCCCGCAACGAGCGCAACCCUUGUUAAUAGUUGCUACGCAAGAGCACUCUAUUAAGACUGCCGUUGACAAAACGGAGGAAG